UCUCCAACUGAGAGUCCCACCGAAUCAAACGUUUCCGAUAGAGGUAUGGUUUGAAAUCGCCGUCUAAAAGGUGAAGGAAUCCUGUCUUCUCGUUUCCGGGACACCGUUUCUCAUAAAGCGCCGGAUAUCUUUUAUGGCCGCGCGUCUUCUUUCACAAGUCGCCGACGCAGCGCGAUUCAAUUCGUUGUGCUCGGGAGGUGGAGAAGGGAAGGCGGAGGACCGAAAGUUAGGAUCGAUGGCGAAUAUCGAAUCGACGGGAUCUUGAAGGAGUUGCCGAAGACGAAGAUAGUGUGCGCACUGGGGCCGGCAUCCAGAUCGGUUGCGAUGCUGGAGAAGCUGCUGAGAUCUGGCACGAACGUCGCCAGGUUCAACUUCAUGAGUACCACCAGGAGAGCAUCGACAACCUUAGGAUCGCCGUGCAGAACUCUGGAAUCCUGUGUGCCGUCAUGCUCGACAACUUCAUGGGUCUUUUUCUUCAUUUUACUUGGUUAGCAACAUAAAAUUUCAAUUACCUUAAAGAAAGUGUUUGAUUUGUUUCAUGUUUCUACAGAAAUAGCCUUGGUAGUAAAUUGCUCUAUGCAUAAAUUAUCCAAGCCAAUUUCAUUUUAACAGAUACUUUCCACGUUCUA
Musa acuminata AAA Group (dessert banana) is the source of this 629-nucleotide long non-coding RNA. RefSeq lists it as uncharacterized. The transcript is spliced from 2 exons. Lineage: Eukaryota; Viridiplantae; Streptophyta; Magnoliopsida; Zingiberales; Musaceae. The record is from RefSeq and is a predicted model, not a curated record.